GGCGGCGUAGCUCAGUGGAUAGAGCACCCUGCUUCACUACGUACCGAGGUUCGCACCCACAUGGUACGGGCAGGGAGGUCGCGGGUUCAAGUCCCGCCGCCGUUC
This 105-nucleotide transfer RNA is filed under the name Burkholderia multivorans. RNAcentral's name for it is "tRNA-OTHER". It matches the Rfam family "tRNA". From Rfam's summary of the family: Transfer RNA (tRNA) molecules are approximately 80 nucleotides in length. Their secondary structure includes four short double-helical elements and three loops (D, anti-codon, and T loops). The record is from RNAcentral. Lineage: Bacteria; Pseudomonadati; Pseudomonadota; Betaproteobacteria; Burkholderiales; Burkholderiaceae.